CAGUAGCCACGGGAAUACGGAGGGUGCAAGCGUUAAUCGGAAUUACUGGGCGUAAAGCGCACGCAGGCGGUCUGACAAGUCAGAUGUGAAAUCCCCGGGCUUAACCUGGGAACUGCAUUUGAAACUGUCAGGCUGGAGUCUUGUAGAGGGGGGUGGAAUUCCAGGUGUAGCGGUGAAAUGCGUAGAGAUCUGGAGGAAUACCGGUGGCGAAGGCGGCCCCCUGGACAAAGACUGACGCUCAGGUGCAAAAGCGUGGGGAGCAAACAGGAUUAGAUACCCCAGUAGUCCCUGUCUCUUAUAC
This 301-nucleotide ribosomal RNA is filed under the name uncultured bacterium. Its description in RNAcentral is "partial 16S ribosomal RNA". It matches the Rfam family "Bacterial small subunit ribosomal RNA", at positions 509 to 807 of the family's 1533-position model. The record is from RNAcentral.